GAAUGGCUCAUUAAAUCAGUUAUCGUUUAUUUGAUAGUACCUUUACCUGGAUAACCGUGGUAAUUCUAGAGCUAAUACAUGCUAAAAAUCCCGACUUCGGAAGGGAUGUAUUUAUUAGAUAAAAAACCAAUGCCCUUCGGGGCUCCUUGGUGAUUCAUAAUAACUAAACGAAUCGCAUGGCCUUGCGCCGGCGAUGGUUCAUUCAAAUUUCUGCCCUAUCAACUUUCGAUGGUAGAGUAGUGGUCUACCAUGGUCUCAACGGGUAACGGGGAAUUAGGGUUCUAUUCCGGAGAGGGAGCCUGAGAAACGGCUACCACAUCUAAGGAAGGCAGCAGGCGCGUAAAUUACCCAAUCCUGACUCAGGGAGGUAGUGACAAUAAAUAACAAUACAGGGCUCACAGAGUCUUGUAAUUGGAAUGAGAACAAUUUAAAUCUCUUAACGAGGAUCAAUUAGAGGGCAAGUCUGGUGCCAGCAGCCGCGGUAAUUCCAGCUCCAAUAGCGUAUAUUAAAGUUGUUGCAGUUAAAAAGCUCGUAGUUGGAUUUCUGGGGCGCUGGAUGGGCCCACGCCUCACGGCGUGUGUGUCCCGAUUCUGGCAGCCCCAUCCUCGGGUGGGUCCUGCUUGGCAUUAGGUUGUUGGGCAGGGGAAGCCCGUCGUUUACUGUGAAAAAAUUAGGGUGUUCAAAGCAGGCUUAGGCCGUUGGAUACAUUAGCAUGGAAUAAUGAGAUAGGGCCUUGAUGUUUUAUUUUGUUGGUUUGCACGCCAAAGUAAUGAUUAAUAGGGAUAGUUGGGGGUAUUCGUAUUCAAUUGUCAGAGGUGAAAUUCUUGGAUUUAUGGAAGACGAACUACUGCGAAAGCAUUUACCAAGGAUGUUUUCAUUAAUCAAGAACGAAAGUUAGGGGAUCGAAGAUGAUUAGAUACCAUCGUAGUCUUAACCAUAAACUAUGCCGACUAGGGAUCGGACGGUGGUUUUUUUAUGCCCCGUUCGGCACCUUACGAGAAAUCAAAGUGUUUGGGCUCGGGGGGGAGUAUGGUCGCAAGGCUGAAACUUAAAGAAAUUG
This 1061-nucleotide ribosomal RNA is filed under the name Goniomonas pacifica. RNAcentral's name for it is "partial Eukaryotic small subunit ribosomal RNA". It matches the Rfam family "Eukaryotic small subunit ribosomal RNA", at positions 91 to 1155 of the family's 1831-position model. Lineage: Eukaryota; Cryptophyceae; Goniomonadida; Goniomonadaceae. The record is from RNAcentral.